UGGGGGGAUGGGGAGGAGAGGGAGAGGAGAGAAGAGACGAGGCGAAGAGAGAGCGUGGGAUUGUGCAGGCAUAUGCAGGCAGGCAGGCAGCAAAGCAGCAAGGCAAGCAGAGCCGGCCUCCACAAAAGAAAUGGGUCAGUCUCUGAAAGAAAUGGCCAUCCCCACUGCAGCUCCUCCUCCGUAGGACACAGUCUCAGAGAGUAAGGGAGAGAAGGA
RNAcentral lists this long non-coding RNA (216 nucleotides) under Physcomitrium patens. Its description in RNAcentral is "long non-coding RNA (PPAT_LNC003256)". Lineage: Eukaryota; Viridiplantae; Streptophyta; Bryopsida; Funariales; Funariaceae. The record is from RNAcentral.